UGGCGAGUGGCGAACGGGUGAGUAAUACAUCGGAACGUGUCCUGGAGUGGGGGAUAGCCCGGCGAAAGCCGGAUUAAUACCGCAUACGCUCUGUGGAGGAAAGCGGGGGAUCUUCGGACCUCGCGCUCAAGGGGCGGCCGAUGGCAGAUUAGCUAGUUGGUGGGGUAAAGGCCUACCAAGGCGACGAUCUGUAGCUGGUCUGAGAGGACGACCAGCCACACUGGGACUGAGACACGGCCCAG
Molecule: ribosomal RNA, 242 nt
Filed under: uncultured bacterium
Lineage: Bacteria
Description: partial 16S ribosomal RNA
Rfam family: Bacterial small subunit ribosomal RNA
Source: RNAcentral